UAUCUAAGAAGUGCCCUGAUCAUGAAUAUGCAAAUUACUUGAGUCUAUGGUUGUAAAUACAAGGAUGUACAAUCCCCUCAACAACAUAUGAUCAGUGUCCUCUCCACACUCACUGAGCACACAGAUCCUCACCAUGGGAUGGAGCUGGAUUAUUCUCUUCCUCCUGUCAGUAAUUACAGGUGUCCACUCCCAGGUCCAGCUGCAGCAGUCUGGUCCUGGGCUAGGGAAACCUGGGUCCUCAGUGAAGUUGUCCUGCAAGGCUUCAGGCUAUACUUUCACUAACUAUGGUAUAAACUGGGUGAAGCAGAGGCCUGGACAAAGCCUGGAGUGGAUUGGAUUUAUUAAUGCAAAUGGUGGUACUGACUACAAUCAGAAGUUCCAGGGCAAGGCCAAACUGACUGUAGACAAAUCCUCCAGCACAGCCUACAUGGAGCUCAGCAGCCUGACAUCUGAGGACUCUGCGGUCUAUUAUUGUGCAAGAGACACAGUGUUGCAACCCACAUCCUGAGUGUGUCAGAAACCCUGGGGGAGCAGAAAGCUGCCCUGGGACUGAGAUGACAGAGAAGAUCAGCCUGGAGACUUGCUGAGAAAUAAUCAUUCAGAGUGUCCAUUAGUCUGCCAUUUUACAAUCUUUUAGGGUCUUUGUCAGCUUUUGAAAAGAACAUCAGAGAAUAAAGUGAUGCUGAUUCAGGAAUGUUAGAGUGCACCAUACCAUGAUCAGCUGUUUACUAGUGACCACUUCCCUUGACAUGAUUCCUUUUCAAUAAACUAAAAUAGUACAAAUUGUAGCAAUACAUUAUGAUAAAAAUAUCUCUUAAAUAUAAGGGACUGGAACUAUUGCUACAGUAUCUGGGAAUAAACUAUAGUAUAAAUUAGGCCAGUAAAAGAGAAAUCAACAGCAUAUGUACAAACAAAGCCCCUUUCAAAGUCCAAUUUGGUUUCCCUAAAACAAGAAA
This is a non-coding RNA of Peromyscus maniculatus bairdii (prairie deer mouse), 956 nucleotides long. The record is from the annotation of a RefSeq genome assembly. NCBI's taxonomy places the organism in Eukaryota, Metazoa, Chordata, Mammalia, Rodentia, Cricetidae.